GGCCCCGUCGUCUAGAGGCCUAGGACGCCGCCCUCUCAAGGCGGAAACGGCGGUUCGAAUCCGCUCGGGGCUACCA
RNAcentral lists this transfer RNA (76 nucleotides) under Actinobacteria bacterium IMCC26256. Its description in RNAcentral is "tRNA-Glu". It matches the Rfam family "tRNA". Rfam says of the family: Transfer RNA (tRNA) molecules are approximately 80 nucleotides in length. Their secondary structure includes four short double-helical elements and three loops (D, anti-codon, and T loops). RNAcentral also lists the same sequence under 5 other names. The record is from RNAcentral. Lineage: Bacteria; Bacillati; Actinomycetota; Actinomycetes.